UCUCAAGAGCUCUCUCUUCUUCGUUUCGAGAAUCAAAGGCAUCGUAACAAAGCAAAGGUAAGUGAACUUAUUUGAUUCACUAUAAUAUGUCCAGUGUAAUACCCCGGAAUUUUAAUAUUAGUUUCUAAUAUUCUUUUGGAAAUUAUUUAAGUAAGAGUUGUAUGGAUUUGUGGUUUAGCGAGUGGACUGGAAGUAGUCGAGUUUUUAAUUCCGUGAAAAUGCUCUAUUUUGAAGGGUUAAGAGUUGACUUUUUAAUCAGUUGGGUUUCUCGGGAAACUUUCUUCACGAAAGCUGUAGAGUAUGGCGAUACGAGUUCGUAGACACGUGACACGCGUAAAACGGACUUCGUAUGAAGAAGUUAUGGUCAGCAGAAGUCCGUGGUUUUUCAGAAAACCCUCUUUUUCUCUUCCCUUCUCUCCCGCACCUCACCCUCACUGUCAAAGUUUUUCAGCUGACCGACCCGGACCCGGAUGACCCGACCCGAGUUUUCCGGCCGACUCCGGCCGACCCAGACGACGGCACCGGUCGGAAAAUCUUCCUCUCCUCGGCGCAAUCUUCCCUGUGUUAGUGAGUGAGGGCGACUCGGCCGGAUCGAUGCUAAUCGAUCGCCAACAGGGAGGGCAGCGACCCGGUUUGCAACCCGACCGGAAUUCUCCCUCCGGCGGCGGCGACGCAGCUUGGAACCGAUCGGGAUAGGCUCUCCUUGGUGCCCUGGUUCUUUUUCUGGUAGUCUCCUAGCAUGACUCACGGUGUAGAGUUACAGUGGUGGAUUUCCACCUUCCUACGAGUUUCCGGCAUGCUCCGGCCGUUUUAGGUGAAACCUCAGGUAUAAAAGAUGCUCCUCUCUCUUCAAUCUACAAGUUUUGUGUUAUGAGCUUGGGCUAAUUCGUAGGUUGGUAGGGUGGCGCGUGGGGCCCACUUGCCGCCGGCGCGUGGCGGCGCCUUCGGCAGAGAUUGGGUGGUUAGGAGUAAUUGUUAGGUUGUGCUUGUCGAUACGAGUACGUGAGCAUGUAGAUUGUAGGUUUCAAUGUUGCUUGAGUAUGUUGGGGCUUUGCCGAAAGUCGUUUCUUUCGGUGUUGGUUUAUGGAAUCUGAACAUAGAGGUAAUCAUUUUUGGUUAUCAUAGGCUGUUCAUGGGUUUCGGUGACCUUGGGAGGUCUCAUACGAGGAUUGCCUCGUUAUGGUAAAUCUUUGGGUUAGGUUUUAGCUAGUUGGCGUAAAGGGUAAUCACUUGGUUGUUAGUGACAAAGUUGGUCAUUAAGUUGAUCGCUUGUUUUGUUGGUCACUAAGUUGUUUUGUGCUACCUAGGUGAUUGACAAAGUUGGUGUUGUGCUUGUGUUGUGCGUGCGAAGACGCAGCUGGAUUUGAGGUGAGUAACAUCUCACCAAGGUCCACUUUGGGACCAAAUAUUUAUAAAUUAUUAUGAUGAUGAUUGUGAUGUUGAUUUUGGAGNNNNNNNNNNNNNNNNNNNNUUUUCUGUUAAAAAUAAAUCUUUCAAAAGGACUUUCGAUCAUGUGAUAUGGUGAUGUUGAAAUAUGGUUGUUGAUAGAUUAUUCUAGUGGGAAUAUCUAUGUCUUUGUUUAUAUAAAUAUAUCUAGGUGGAAAGAUAUAAUUUAUGAAGUGCUCUUGUGAUGUUGUUGAUGAUAUUUUUAUAUUUGAAUUGUUGUUUAAAUAGUCAAACCGGGUUCCUAGCCUUUAAUCGGGUGAUAGGUUACGGUUAUGAUUAUAUUAUUAUUUUGUGAUUUGAUAAGUGUUAUGUUGGGAGAGUAUUGGAAUGUGUGCCUUAGUGGUGAUUGUGUGCAUUAGUUGUGUAUGUGUGUGCCUUAGUGGUGAUUGUGUGCAUUAGUUGUGUAUGUGUGUGCCUUUGUGGUGAUUAUUAGAUUAGGAGCCUUCGUGGUGGACCGGGAACCAAGCCUUGGCCGGGUGAUUGGUUACGGUCAGUAUAGAGCUCUAGUCUGUCAGUUGGUACUUCAUAGGGGAUGACUAAGUGUUGGCGAACCCAUGAGUACGCAUUUGUUUGGUUACUUAUGGGGGAUGACUAAGUGUUGGCGAACUCAUAAGUAAGAGUAGAGAAAUGUUUGUGUGAUGUUCUUAUGUGUUGUUUAAAUUUCUUGCUUUGAGUAUCUCUUGAACUAUGCUUAUUCGCAGGAGAUUCUUAAAUCUUAAUUGUGUGAUUUUAAUAGAAUUCUUGAACUAUGUUUAUUUGUAGGAUUCAUUUAUGAUUUUGAGUGAUUUUAAAUUAUUAUGUUUUCUUAAUUGUUUCUUUUGAAUUCUCUUACUUUUAGGCGAUUCCUGAACUAAGUUGCUAAUACAGGAAUUACCAGUUUUAAUUAUAUGUGAUGUUGGGAUUGUUGGGUUAUUAUUUUGGGAGUUACUCAUACGAGCUUUUUAGCUUACUGGGUUUGUUGUUUACAACCCGGUGCACCAACUCAUAGUGUAGGGGUUAGACCUGUAGGUGAUGAUCAGAAGGUAGGAGGCAGUGGCCUACGAGCUAGGUUUUUGACGAUAUACAAUUAUUUGUUUUUUAUGGUAGUUGUUUUUAAGCUCAUGUAAGCGAAGUAGUUUUUAGUUGACUUUUGGAAGUUAAUGUAAUUAAGGAGAUUAAAUGUUUAACUCGGUUGAUGAGUUUAUCGACAUUUAUAUUUUCAGUAUUUGUUUUUAGUUUUAGAAAUUGUUGAGCAGGAUUAUGGGAUAUUAAGAUUUUGAGUUUUAUCAUGCCCAAAUUUUUGAAAAUUUUAUCCUUCGAAAAUUGGGGUGUGACAGUUUGGUAUCAGAGCAUAGGUUUACAUAUUUGGUGAUAAUCAAUAUUUUGAAAUGAUGGCCCGACUGCAGCGGAUCACCAUCAUAAGCUCUUCGGUAUUGAUAUGUCAUUGGGUAUGUGAAGGGUUAGGUGUUGUCUCUAGGUCAAUAGGAUGUCAGAGUAGAGAAUAGUCUGUUAGUGGGAUUUUGAAUCUUGGUGGUCCAUCUUAAGUUAGUGCCUUGGUUAAUAAAUGUCGCAUUUGACUUAUACUUGGAUUUAAGUUCUAUGCAUGAGUUAACCAAGGUUUACUUGCUUCUUAGGUGAUGGAUCCUCAGCGAGGGAGAGCUAGAGGCAGAGGUAGGGCCAGAGGGGCCCGUAGAGCCAGAGGGGCAGGUGAGGCCAGAGGCAGAGGUAGUUGUUUUUAAGCUCAUGUAAGCGAAGUAGUUGUUACUAGACUUUUGGAAAUUAAUGUAAUUAAGGAGAUUAAAUGUUUAACUCGGUUGAUGAGUUUAUCGACAUUUAUAUUUCCAGUAUUUGUUUUUAGUUUUGGAAAUUAUUGAGCAGGAUUAUGGGAUAUUAAGAUUUUGAGUUUUAUAAUGCCCAAAUUUUUGAAAAUUUUAUCCUUCGAAAAUUAGGGUGUGACAUCCGGUCCUAAAUUUGGUUGUUUGGUGAAGUUCUAAACUACUAUAUCUUGUCCUACAUAUGUACAGGUUUUGAAAGUAAACUUAUAAAACAGAUAACCACAUAUGCCCUAGUUUGAUGCAAUGUGAAACUGAGCCGUUUGAUGCAAUUGUUUCUUACUUUAAUUGAUGCUCUUAUUGAUCCUCGAAGGCUGGGUACAUCUUUCAACGUAAAGGCAGUUGAUGAAUUUGUCUCAGACUCUUGUUUAUGGAUACUUCAAAAUUAUUCUCGUGCCCAGAUUCUUUUGAAGAAUUCAGUUUUAUUCUGUAUAAAUAUAUAUAUAUAUAUAUAUUAUAUAUAUAUAUAUAGGCCGGAUGUGGAGCGCACGUCCGCACUGUCCUUAAAGUGCGCACGUCCCUCCG
RNAcentral lists this long non-coding RNA (3782 nucleotides) under Fragaria vesca (wild strawberry). Its description in RNAcentral is "long non-coding RNA (FVES_LNC001815)". Lineage: Eukaryota; Viridiplantae; Streptophyta; Magnoliopsida; Rosales; Rosaceae. The record is from RNAcentral.